UAGGGAAUCUUCGGCAAUGGACGAAAGUCUGACCGAGCAACGCCGCGUGAGUGAAGAAGGUUUUCGGAUCGUAAAACUCUGUUGUUAGAGAAGAACAAGGACGUUAGUAACUGAACGUCCCCUGACGGUAUCUAACCAGAAAGCCACGGCUAACUACGUGCCAGCAGCCGCGGUAAUACGUAGGUGGCAAGCGUUGUCCGGAUUUAUUGGGCGUAAAGCGAGCGCAGGCGGUUUCUUAAGUCUGAUGUGAAAGCCCCCGGCUCAACCGGGGAGGGUCAUUGGAAACUGGGAGACUUGAGUGCAGAAGAGGAGAGUGGAAUUCCAGGUGUAGCGGUAAAAUGCGUAGAUAUAUGGAGGAACGCCAGUGGCGAAGGCGGCUCUCUGGUCUGUAGCUGACGCUGAGGCUCGAAAGCGUGGGGAGCAAACAGG
Molecule: ribosomal RNA, 429 nt
Filed under: Gemmatimonadota bacterium
Lineage: Bacteria; Pseudomonadati; Gemmatimonadota
Description: Gemmatimonadetes bacterium partial 16S ribosomal RNA
Rfam family: Bacterial small subunit ribosomal RNA
Source: RNAcentral